Molecule: ribosomal RNA, 2915 nt
Filed under: Vibrio parahaemolyticus
Lineage: Bacteria; Pseudomonadati; Pseudomonadota; Gammaproteobacteria; Vibrionales; Vibrionaceae
Description: bacterial LSU rRNA
Rfam family: Bacterial large subunit ribosomal RNA
Source: RNAcentral
GUUGUAUGGUUAAGUGACUAAGCGUACACGGUGGAUGCCUUGGCAGUCAGAGGCGAUGAAAGACGUAGUAACUUGCGAUAAGCCCAGAUUAGGUAGUAACAACCAUUUGAGUCUGGGAUUUCUGAAUGGGGAAACCCACGUGCAUAAGCACGUAUCCUUACCUGAAUACAUAGGGUAAGGAGGCGAACCGGGGGAACUGAAACAUCUAAGUACCCCGAGGAAAAGAAAUCAACCGAGAUUCCGAAAGUAGCGGCGAGCGAAAUUGGACUAGCCCUUAAGCUUUACACGCGUUAGACGAACGGUCUGGAAAGUCCGACGAUACAGGGUGAUAGUCCCGUAGUUGACGACGUGUGUUCAGUGAAAUCGAGUAGGGCGGGACACGUGAUAUCCUGUCUGAAUAUGGGGGGACCAUCCUCCAAGGCUAAAUACUACUGACUGACCGAUAGUGAACCAGUACCGUGAGGGAAAGGCGAAAAGAACCCCUGUGAGGGGAGUGAAAUAGAACCUGAAACCGUGUACGUACAAGCAGUAGGAGCACCUUCGUGGUGUGACUGCGUACCUUUUGUAUAAUGGGUCAGCGACUUAUAUUCAGUGGCAAGGUUAACCAUCUAGGGGAGCCGUAGGGAAACCGAGUCUUAACUGGGCGUUCAGUCUCUGGAUAUAGACCCGAAACCAGGUGAUCUAGCCAUGGGCAGGUUGAAGGUUGAGUAACAUCAACUGGAGGACCGAACCGACUAAUGUUGAAAAAUUAGCGGAUGACUUGUGGCUAGGGGUGAAAGGCCAAUCAAACCUGGAGAUAGCUGGUUCUCCCCGAAAGCUAUUUAGGUAGCGCCUCGGACGAAUACUACUGGGGGUAGAGCACUGUUAAGGCUAGGGGGUCAUCCCGACUUACCAACCCUUUGCAAACUCCGAAUACCAGUAAGUACUAUCCGGGAGACACACGGCGGGUGCUAACGUCCGUCGUGGAGAGGGAAACAACCCAGACCGCCAGCUAAGGUCCCAAAUUACUACUAAGUGGGAAACGAUGUGGGAAGGCUCAGACAGCCAGGAUGUUGGCUUAGAAGCAGCCAUCAUUUAAAGAAAGCGUAAUAGCUCACUGGUCGAGUCGGCCUGCGCGGAAGAUGUAACGGGGCUAAGUAGUAAACCGAAGCUGCGGCAAUAUACUUUUGUAUAUUGGGUAGGGGAGCGUUCUGUAAGCGGUUGAAGGUGUGUGGUAACGCAUGCUGGACGUAUCAGAAGUGCGAAUGCUGACAUGAGUAACGAUAAAGGGGGUGAAAAACCUCCUCGCCGGAAGACCAAGGGUUCCUGUCCAACGUUAAUCGGGGCAGGGUAAGUCGACCCCUAAGGCGAGGCCGAAAGGCGUAGUCGAUGGGAAACGGGUUAAUAUUCCCGUACUUCUUACAAUUGCGAUGGGGGGACGGAGAAGGCUAGGUGGGCCUGGCGACGGUUGUCCAGGUUCAAGUGCGUAGGCUUAAGAGUUAGGUAAAUCCGGCUCUUUUUAAGGCUGAGACACGACGUCGAGCACCUACGGGUGUGAAGUCAUUGAUGCCAUGCUUCCAGGAAAAGCCUCUAAGCUUCAGAUUGUAAGGAAUCGUACCCCAAACCGACACAGGUGGUCGGGUAGAGAAUACCAAGGCGCUUGAGAGAACUCGGGUGAAGGAACUAGGCAAAAUGGUACCGUAACUUCGGGAGAAGGUACGCUCUCGACGGUGAAGUCCCUCGCGGAUGGAGCUAUUGAGAGUCGCAGAUACCAGGUGGCUGCAACUGUUUAUUAAAAACACAGCACUGUGCAAAAUCGUAAGAUGACGUAUACGGUGUGACGCCUGCCCGGUGCCGGAAGGUUAAUUGAUGGGGUUAGACUUCGGUCGAAGCUCUUGAUCGAAGCCCCGGUAAACGGCGGCCGUAACUAUAACGGUCCUAAGGUAGCGAAAUUCCUUGUCGGGUAAGUUCCGACCUGCACGAAUGGCGUAAUGAUGGCCACGCUGUCUCCACCCGAGACUCAGUGAAAUUGAAAUCGCUGUGAAGAUGCAGUGUACCCGCGGCUAGACGGAAAGACCCCGUGAACCUUUACUACAGCUUGGCACUGAACAUUGACCCUACAUGUGUAGGAUAGGUGGGAGGCUUUGAAGCACGUACGCCAGUAUGUGUGGAGCCGUCCUUGAAAUACCACCCUUGUAGUGUUGAUGUUCUAACGUCGACCCCUUAUCGGGGUUGCGGACAGUGCCUGGUGGGUAGUUUGACUGGGGCGGUCUCCUCCCAAAGAGUAACGGAGGAGCACGAAGGUGGGCUAAUCACGGUUGGACAUCGUGAGGUUAGUGCAAUGGCAUAAGCCCGCUUGACUGCGAGAAUGACAAUUCGAGCAGGUGCGAAAGCAGGUCAUAGUGAUCCGGUGGUUCUGAAUGGAAGGGCCAUCGCUCAACGGAUAAAAGGUACUCCGGGGAUAACAGGCUGAUACCGCCCAAGAGUUCAUAUCGACGGCGGUGUUUGGCACCUCGAUGUCGGCUCAUCACAUCCUGGGGCUGAAGUCGGUCCCAAGGGUAUGGCUGUUCGCCAUUUAAAGUGGUACGCGAGCUGGGUUUAGAACGUCGUGAGACAGUUCGGUCCCUAUCUGCCGUGGGCGUUGGAAGAUUGAAGGGGGCUGCUCCUAGUACGAGAGGACCGGAGUGGACGAACCUCUGGUGUUCGGGUUGUGUCGCCAGACGCAUUGCCCGGUAGCUAAGUUCGGAAUCGAUAACCGCUGAAAGCAUCUAAGCGGGAAGCGAGCCCUGAGAUGAGUCUUCCCUGAUACUUUAAGUAUCCUAAAGGGUUGUCGGAGACUACGACGUUGAUAGGUCAGGUGUGUAAGUGCUGUGAGGCAUUGAGCUAACUGAUACUAAUUGCCCGUGAGGCUUAACCAUACAACACCCAAGGGGUUU